AAUGAACGCUGGCGGCAGGCCUAACACAUGCAAGUCGAACGGAUCCUUCGGGAUUAGUGGCGGACGGGUGAGUAACGCGUGGGAACAUACCCUUUGGUACGGAAUAGCCUCGGGAAGCUGGGAGUAAUACCGUAUGUGGUCGAGAGACGAAAGAUUUAUCGCCAAAGGGGUGGCCCGCGUUGGAUUAGGUAGUUGGUGGGGUAAUGGCCUACCAAGCCGACGAUCCAUAGCUGGUUUGAGAGGAUGAUCAGCCACACUGGGACUGAGACACGGCCCAGACUCCUACGGGAGGCAGCAGUGGGGAAUCUUAGACAAUGGGGGAAACCCUGAUCUAGCCAUGCCGCGUGAUCGAUGAAGGCCUUAGGGUUGUAAAGAUCUUUCAGGUGGGAAGAUAAUGACUGUACCACCAGAAGAAGCCCCGGCUAACUCCGUGCCAGCAGCCGCAGUAA
RNAcentral lists this ribosomal RNA (449 nucleotides) under uncultured bacterium. Its description in RNAcentral is "partial 16S ribosomal RNA". It matches the Rfam family "Bacterial small subunit ribosomal RNA", at positions 29 to 523 of the family's 1533-position model. The record is from RNAcentral.